This 427-nucleotide ribosomal RNA is filed under the name uncultured bacterium. RNAcentral's name for it is "bacterial SSU rRNA". It matches the Rfam family "Bacterial small subunit ribosomal RNA", at positions 354 to 796 of the family's 1533-position model. The record is from RNAcentral.
GCAAGGAAUUUUGCACAAUCGACGCAAGUCGGAUGCAGCAACGCCGCGUGGGGGAUGAAGGCUCUCGGGUUGUAAACCCCUUUUGCGAGGGAAGAAGAUCUGACGGUACCUCGCGAAUAAGUCACGGCUAACUACGUGCCAGCAGCCGCGGUAAUACGUAGGUGGCGAACGUUGUCCGGAUUCACUGGGCGUAAAGCGCGCGCAGGCGGACUGAUAAGUCAGAGGUGAAAUCUCCCGGCUCAACUGGGAGGGGCCCUUUGAUACUGUCAGUCUUGAGGCACCUAGAGGAGAGUGGAAUUCCCGGUGUAGUGGUGGAAUGCGUAGAUAUCGGGAGGAACACCAGUGGCGAAAGCGACUCUCUGGGGGUGACCUGACGCUGAGGCGCGAAAGCGUGGGGAGCAAACGGGAUUAGAUACCCGGGUAGUCC